RNAcentral lists this transfer RNA (65 nucleotides) under Tambocerus sp. PY-2015. RNAcentral's name for it is "tRNA-Pro". RNAcentral also lists the same sequence under 2 other names. The record is from RNAcentral. Lineage: Eukaryota; Metazoa; Arthropoda; Insecta; Hemiptera; Cicadellidae.
CAGCAAAUAUUUUAAUAAAAAUAUUAGUCUUGGGUAUUAAUGAUGUAAUAAAUUUACUUUGUUGA